GACCUGCCGGGUCUCUGUUCAUCCCGCGAGAUCUCGCGUUAACCUCGGCUACUGGAAAUAUGGCUGCAGCGAGUGAACCCGCGAUGGAGAAAACUGUGACACCUGUUCCCGUGAAGGGGGAAAAGAAAGAAAACGAACAAAUCCGUAAACUCUUCAUUGGUGGCUUGAGCUCUGAAACCACAGAAGAAAGUCUGAGGAAGUACUACCAGCAGUGGGGAGAACUCACAGACUGUGUGGUCAUAAGGGGCCUUGCCAGUCAAAAAUCAAGAGGGUUUGGUUUUGUUACUUUCUCCUCCGUGGCUGAGGUGGAUGCAGCCAUGGCGGCCAGACCUCAUUCCAUUGAUGGGAGAGUGGUUGACCCCAAACGUGCUGUUGCGAGAGAGAAAUCUGAAAAACAGGGGUCGCUUGUCACUGUGAAGAAGCUGUUCGUUGGUGGAAUUAAGGAAGAUACCGAGGAGCAUCAUCUGAGAGAGUACUUUGAGAAAUAUGGAAAAAUCGAUGCCAUUGAGAUCAUUACUGAUAGGCAGUCGGGCAAGAAAAGAGGCUUUGGAUUUGUGACUUUUGAUGACUAUGAUCCCGUGGAUAAGAUAGUGUUGCAGAAAUACCAUACCAUCAAUGGUUAUCGUGCAGAAGUCGGGAAGGCUUUGUCGAGACAGGAAAUGAAGGAAAUUCAAGGUUCUAGAAGUAGAAAAGGAGGCCCCUUUGGUUUUAGUGUUUCUUCUAGUGGGGGUGGAAAUUUUGGACGAGGGCCAGGAACUAAAUUUAGAGGAGAAACUGAUGGAUAUGGAAAUGGUCCCAGAUCUAGGGAUGGCUGUCAUGGGUAUGGAGGAGGACCUGGAGGUGGUAAUUUUGGAGGUUACCCUUGUUAUGGAGGAGGAGGUGGAGAAUAUGGUGGUCGAGGUCCUGGGUAUGGCAACCAGUGGGAGUUCUCUGGAGGUGGUUAUGGCAAUAAUUUUGGAAAUUACAACCAGCAACCGUCUAAUUAUGGUCCAAUGAGGAAUGGUAUCUUUGAUGUUGGCAGGAACAUAGCGGCCCCAUACGGUGGAGAAAAUUAUGGCCCAGGAGCCAGUGGAGGAAGUUGGGGUUAUGGAGGGGGACGUGGAUAUUGAGCGUUUUCCUCUUUGCCCUGGGCUUCACCGUCUGAAUAGCAGAGGAUGAGAGCCCAGACGUAACAGAACAAUUUCAGGUUAUUGAAAUAAGGACAUUAAGAAAAUUCUUAUCUCAGCCAUGAAUAAAUAUUUAGCGAUGUGUCAGAAGAACUCAGAGCAGGUUCAAAGGGUCAUUUUUGUGAAUGGGCUGGGUUAUUUAAGAACAUUACCUUCCUGUGGAGGAAAAAUUGUGAAAAAAACUGACUUUGAUACAGUUUCCUAGCUUCUUAAUUGUUUCUUUCUAGUGAGAGUGUAGAAGUAUUCCUUCUUUGAUAAUGUUAAAUGUGUAAGUUUCAGGUGACAUGUGAAACCUUUUAAAUGGUUUUUCGCAAAGUUUUGAAGCUGUUAGCCA
Non-coding RNA from Odocoileus virginianus texanus, 1500 nucleotides. The record is from RefSeq and is a predicted model, not a curated record. Lineage: Eukaryota; Metazoa; Chordata; Mammalia; Artiodactyla; Cervidae.